GUAUUGCUUCUGCAGUACAUACACUAAAAUUGGAACAAUGCACAGAGGAUUAGCAUGGCCCCAGAGCAAGGGUGACAUGCAAAUUCACGAAGCAUUCCAUAUUUUU
Chionomys nivalis (European snow vole) is the source of this 106-nucleotide small nuclear RNA. The record is from RefSeq and is a predicted model, not a curated record. NCBI's taxonomy places the organism in Eukaryota, Metazoa, Chordata, Mammalia, Rodentia, Cricetidae.